This 370-nucleotide ribosomal RNA is filed under the name Pseudomonas aeruginosa. RNAcentral describes it as "bacterial SSU rRNA". It matches the Rfam family "Bacterial small subunit ribosomal RNA", at positions 128 to 493 of the family's 1533-position model. The record is from RNAcentral. Lineage: Bacteria; Pseudomonadati; Pseudomonadota; Gammaproteobacteria; Pseudomonadales; Pseudomonadaceae.
GCCUGAUGGAGGGGGAUAACUACUGGAAACGGUAGCUAAUACCGCAUAACGUCGCAAGACCAAAGUGGGGGACCUUCGGGCCUCAUGCCAUCAGAUGUGCCCAGAUGGGAUUAGCUAGUAGGUGGGGUAACGGCUCACCUAGGCGACGAUCCCUAGCUGGUCUGAGAGGAUGACCAGCCACACUGGAACUGAGACACGGUCCAGACUCCUACGGGAGGCAGCAGUGGGGAAUAUUGCACAAUGGGCGCAAGCCUGAUGCAGCCAUGCCGCGUGUGUGAAGAAGGCCUUCGGGUUGUAAAGCACUUUCAGCGGGGAGGAAGGCGGUGAGGUUAAUAACCUCAUCGAUUGACGUUACCCGCAGAAGAAGCAC